This 78-nucleotide ribozyme is filed under the name Crocodylus porosus (Australian saltwater crocodile). Its description in RNAcentral is "Mammalian CPEB3 ribozyme (ENSCPRG00005004368.1)". It matches the Rfam family "Mammalian CPEB3 ribozyme". From Rfam's summary of the family: The mammalian CPEB3 ribozyme is a self cleaving RNA located in the second intron of the CPEB3 gene which belongs to a family of genes regulating messenger RNA polyadenylation. This ribozyme is highly conserved and found only in mammals. Lineage: Eukaryota; Metazoa; Chordata; Crocodylia; Crocodylidae. The record is from Rfam by way of RNAcentral.
AGAUCACAACUUCAAGGCCACAGCAGAAGUGCUUAUGGUGUAGCCUGUCAGAUUCCAGUGAAAUCUGUGAAUUCUGCU